CAGUAGUCACGAGUUUGACCUGGCUCAGAACGAACGCUGGCGGCAGGCCUAACACAUGCAAGUCGAGCGAGGUAGCAAUACCUAGCGGCGGACGGGUGAGUAACGCGUGGGAACGUACCCUUUGCUACGGAAUAGCCCCGGGAAACUGGGAGUAAUACCGUAUGUGCCCUUCGGGGGAAAGAUUUAUCGGCAAAGGAUCGGCCCGCGUUGGAUUAGGUAGUUGGUGGGGUAAUGGCCUACCAAGCCGACGAUCCAUAGCUGGUUUGAGAGGAUGAUCAGCCACACUGGGACUGAGACACGGCCCAGACUCCUACGGGAGGCAGCAGUGGGGAAUCUUAGACAAUGGGCGCAAGCCUGAUCUAGCCAUGCCGCGUGAGUGAUGAAGGCCUUAGGGUUGUAAAGCUCUUUCAGAUGGGAAGAUAAUGACGGUACCAUCAGAAGAAGCCCCGGCUAACUCCGUG
RNAcentral lists this ribosomal RNA (461 nucleotides) under uncultured bacterium. Its description in RNAcentral is "bacterial SSU rRNA". It matches the Rfam family "Bacterial small subunit ribosomal RNA", at positions 1 to 507 of the family's 1533-position model. The record is from RNAcentral.